UAUGAAAAUGCUAUGGUAAAUUGCAAAGUGGAAUAUAAAUAUGACACUCCUUAUAAAUGCCUAUUGCCUAAUUAUCAUCUGAACUUUGUCAUAGUAAGACAACAUUAAACAGGAAAGUUUUACCUGACCUGUAGUUAAAUAUUAGCUAGCUUUAGAUUAAAAAUACAGGCAAAAUGAAUAGACUUCUACUUUCACACAAAAUGGGGCAUUUUAAUAAGUGAAAUCUAAACUGUGCAAUUAGACUGUUUCACGCAGAGGAAGCAUAGAAACAAUGGAUAACAAUAGGUAAAGUGGUAAUUCCCUGGAUACGUGCAAAGAAUAUGGGAAAAAAAAGAAUAAAACUUGCCAGAAGGAACCUCAUGUAUAUGGGCAGGUAUAUAUACAACAGUAUUUUUAAUCUGAAUGAACUUGGGAGAGAACUAAGGAAAGAACAAAAAACAUUCUUUGUUCAUGGAUGGAAAAACUUUAUUUGGCUGACAAUAAAGACUUGUGACUGGACAUCAUUUGCUCUGAACCAGUACCUGACCACAGGAAACUUAGGAUAACCACUGCCUUCAGAAGGAGAAAGAUGGUGUGGCAUGGGUGAAGAAGAUGCAGCCCCUCAUACCUAAAGUUUACCAGCAGAGGACACAGCACAGAAUGUGGGGAGAGCAGCUGUGUUGCUGUGCAUCCUUGCACUCACAUUGCAGCUUUGUCCUGGCCUUUUAAGAUGUCGGCUUGGAUUUGACAGAGGUGCACCUGGCAGUCUGCAGCCAAUGAAGCCAAAAGCCCCUUAUGUUUCUGUGAGGCUCUGUUUCCUGUUAGUAAAAUUAAAGCAUUUAAAAAAUAAGGAGGCAUCCAGGUAUCCUUGUUUAAAAAAACUGU
This is a long non-coding RNA of Poecile atricapillus (Black-capped chickadee), 864 nucleotides long. RefSeq lists it as uncharacterized. The transcript is spliced from 3 exons. NCBI's taxonomy places the organism in Eukaryota, Metazoa, Chordata, Aves, Passeriformes, Paridae. The record is from RefSeq and is a predicted model, not a curated record.